UUUUCGGAGUAAAAGCUUAUUAAGUUGAUAGAUUUGGUCUAUUUGAAUGUGUUUCUGACGUUAAAUAACUUCACUGCCAUUUAACACAAAAAUAAAAUUCCUUGAAAAUGGAAACACUGGAUAGGGUAAUUAUUUAUAACACGUACUUUUUUCUAGUCCGUACUUGGGUGGAUUUGUGCCUUCUUCACUCCAGACCAGUGGCUCAUACAUUUCGAUCAACUUCAACUUCCAGGUUAUGUGCUGUUUUCUGGUGCUAUUUCUUCAGGAUUGUAGUAUGAUACUCGUAGCUGAGUUCGAAAAUCCUUGGCCUUGAGUGCUGUGCAGUAGUCUGUUGGUGCAUUAAAUGAAAGCAGAAUGCAAAUUAAUGAAUUUUGCUUUUUAGUCUUUAACGAAGUGGAAUUGAAAUAUUAUUUUCGUGGAUUUGCAAACGUCGAAUGACAUGAUGAGUUAUAACAAUGAUCAUCAACUCGUAAUUUGACACAUGUCAAAUUAUGAGCAGGGAAUAAAGUUAAAUUUUUUUAAUAUCUCGUUAA
Long non-coding RNA from Xenia sp. Carnegie-2017, 533 nucleotides. RefSeq lists it as uncharacterized. NCBI's taxonomy places the organism in Eukaryota, Metazoa, Cnidaria, Anthozoa, Malacalcyonacea, Xeniidae. The transcript has 2 exons. The record is from RefSeq and is a predicted model, not a curated record.